Molecule: ribosomal RNA, 468 nt
Filed under: uncultured bacterium
Lineage: Bacteria
Description: partial 16S ribosomal RNA
Rfam family: Bacterial small subunit ribosomal RNA
Source: RNAcentral
GACGAACGCUGGCGGCGUGCUUAACACAUGCAAGUCGAACGGAAAGGCCCUGCUUUUGUGGGGUGCUCGAGUGGCGAACGGGUGAGUAACACGUGAGUAACCUGUCCUUGACUUUGGGAUAACUUCAGGAAACUGGGGCUAUUACCGGAUAGGAGCUCCUGCUGCAUGGUGGGGGUUGGAAAGUUUCGGCGGUUGGGGAUGGACUCGCGGCUUAUCAGCUUGUUGGUGGGGUAGUGGCUUACCAAGGCUUUGACGGGUAGCCGGCCUGAGAGGGUGACCGGCCACAUUGGGACUGAGAUACGGCCCAGACUCCUACGGGAGGCAGCAGUGGGGAAUAUUGCACAAGGGGCGGAAGCCUGAUGCAGCAACGCCGCGUGCGGGAUAACGGCCUUCGGGUUGUAAACCGCUUUCGCCUGUGACGAAGCGUGAGUGACGGUAAUGGGUAAAGAAGCACCGGCUAACUACGUG